This 1840-nucleotide long non-coding RNA is filed under the name Marmota monax (woodchuck). The record is from RNAcentral. Lineage: Eukaryota; Metazoa; Chordata; Mammalia; Rodentia; Sciuridae.
GCGGAUUCGGAGUGGGCGUUGGUUUCUUGUUGUCGCCGUUCCGUUUUCACUCCUCCCGCGUGGGGAAUAGCUGGCUCUCAAAGCUGCAGUGUCGGCCCAGCGCAGUGGCGCCCGCCUGUGCUCCCAGCUCCUUGGGAGGCCAGGCAGUAGGAGCGAGGUUCCUGACCAGGCCUGUCUCCAAAAGGAGGGUGGGAGAGACCUGCGUGAUCCCCAGUAGCAGGAAGGGGGGAAAAGCGUCUUAAAUGUUGUUUUUGUCUGUACUUAACAUUCAUCUGAUGAAGGAAGUAAAAGAAGAAAGCACACAGAAAAGGAAAAUAGUAAGAAAAAAAAGAGAAGGAGAUGAUGAUGAUUGAGGGAAAAGUGGGUUUGAACCUGAUGUCUUUUGAGGCGGGCGUGACAGCAGUGACAGCACAACUCCUCAGUACCAUAUUUCUCCUUUUCUGAAAGUUUUCACAAACUUCUUAUGCUGACUUUUAAUAUACAGAAAACUGCAUCUGCUGUUGUCUAAUAGGAGGACUUGAGAAUUCUUAACGAAAACUGCAGGGCAAGUGCAGGUUAACACUAGUCCUUUUGAAAGCGGAACAUUCUCCACUUCCCUUACUAAGCAGUGUUGGCAUUCUUCCAAACCAUAGAUUGGAGAAAUGAGUGGAUUCAAGGUUCAGUGUCCCAAAAUGCAUGGUAGCUCUACUACUCUAUAUAGUCAUUGCUUAUAAUAACUUAGUACAUAGUGCCUCAAAUCCAAAGGGGGGUUUUAAAAGUCAUUUAUUUUCUCAAAACUAGAGCCUUCUCUGAUAUCCACAUCCCAGUUCCUGCCUAUUUGAAUAUCACCAGGAUGGCUUACCAGCUCCACACCUAGCCUGUCUACAACUACCUUCCUUAGUUGAGCUCAUCUUGACCUUCUAUUGUACUUUCUUGGUUAAUUGUAUUAGCAGUGUCUUCACAACCACUCUCAACCAAUCUCUGGUCCCCACAGUCAGUAUCUAAACUGUGUCAUUUUUAAUUCUGAAAUAUUCCUUCAAAACUCAAUUCCAUUUUCACCCCUCCUGCCCAAGUUCAAAUAUCCAUCAUUUUUGAAUUAGCACAUUUCCAACUGAUCUUCCUACAUCCUUUCUUUGAAAAUCCUUUCACUGCCAUACUUCCUAAAACCCAAAUAUAUCAUUUCAUCCCCCUUGCAUCUGAAUUAGGCUGAGCAUUUUUCAUGAACUGUAUGUCAUUUAUCCACAUUCUCUACCCUGCCCAGCCACCACUACCCAGUACCUGACAGUGUCUGGCCUGUAUUAAGCAUUAUCAAAUAUUUACAUUUAGCAUCAUAAAUAGGGAUAAAUUUCUAAGCUCUGUCCUUUUUCCUCAAAUCCAAGACCCUCACUUACAGUUAAAAAUAUCACUGGAAAAAGCAGCAAAAUAAAAAUGUGGACCCUCAUUGCUAGUAGAAAUGUAAAUUGCUUGGCAUGAGGCUGUGGCUCAGUGGUAGCGCACUUGCCUGGUAUGUGUGAAGCAUUGGGUUUGAUUCUCAGCACCACAUAUAAAUAAAUUAAAGGUCUAUCAACAACUAAAAAAUAUAUUUAAAAAGGAAUGUAAAGUGCGACCUCUAUAAAGAACAAUUUGGUUGUUCCUUAAAGACCUAAGUGUGAAAUUAUUUUUUUUUAUUUUUAUUUUUGGUUGUUAAUGGACCUGUAUUUUAUCUAUUCAUAUGCGGUGCUGAGAAUCAAACCCAGGGCCUCAUACAUGCCAGGCAAGUGCUCUACCACUGAGCUACAAUCCCAGCCCACUAAGUGUGAAAUUAUUAUAAUAGAACAUUGAAGAUCAGACUCUGGAACCAGUCUGGCAGGGUUCAAAUCCC